CUCCUGUUGUGACAACCUACUGAUUGGUUUGUUUGGAGAGAAUUGCAGUGGAAUGGUAACCCCUUGCAAACACGGUCUUCCCAGGUGCCUGAGAGUGAUACAGAAACCUGUGUGAUCUAUGAAGGCAUGGGUGCCUUUAUUUACAGAGUUGGCAAAGAAGCCAGAGAGGAGCAGGCAGGAAGUGGUGUCAGGUGGUCCAAAGGUCAGGACUGGAAGCAAAGGAGCAAGGUCAUGAGUCAGGCUCAAGGUCAGAAGCCAGGAUAUCCAUGAAUGGAGAGCAGCAUGUCAGACAAGAAAUGGGGUCAGGGCCAAAUCCAAAGGUCAGAAGCCGAGAAGUAUUACCGAGAAUCAGGAACCAGUAACCGG
Molecule: non-coding RNA, 366 nt
Organism: Pelobates cultripes (western spadefoot toad)
Lineage: Eukaryota; Metazoa; Chordata; Amphibia; Anura; Pelobatidae
Source: the annotation of a GenBank genome assembly